Molecule: ribosomal RNA, 430 nt
Filed under: Fusobacterium periodonticum
Lineage: Bacteria; Fusobacteriati; Fusobacteriota; Fusobacteriia; Fusobacteriales; Fusobacteriaceae
Description: bacterial SSU rRNA
Rfam family: Bacterial small subunit ribosomal RNA
Source: RNAcentral
GAUGAACGCUGACAGAAUGCUUAACACAUGCAAGUCAACUUGAACUUCGGUUUGGGUGGCGGACGGGUGAGUAACGCGUAAAGAACUUGCCUCACAGAUAGGGACAACAUUUGGAAACGAAUGCUAAUACCUGAUAUUAUGAUUUUAGGGCAUCCUAGAAUUAUGAAAGCUAUAUGCGCUGUGAGAGAGCUUUGCGUCCCAUUAGCUAGUUGGAGAGGUAACGGCUCACCAAGGCGAUGAUGGGUAGCCGGCCUGAGAGGGUGAUCGGCCACAAGGGGACUGAGACACGGCCCUUACUCCUACGGGAGGCAGCAGUGGGGAAUAUUGGACAAUGGACCAAGAGUCUGAUCCAGCAAUUCUGUGUGCACGAUGAAGUUUUUCGGAAUGUAAAGUGCUUUCAGUUGGGAAGAAAAAAAUGACGGAACCAACA